GUGAAAUAGUUUUGUUUUAUUUUACUAAGCUUUCAAAAGAUUAUUUUAUUUUUUUUCUUUUGUUGCAGUACUCAAACUAUGGUCUUUAAAAGACUCGGGGCAAAUUGAAGCGCUUGUUGGUCCAUAUAAGCUUUAUGACACAUCCUUUCGAAUGCUCUGUGGAAAUGACUGGCUGUCAGAUGAGAUCAUAGAUGCAUCUCUUCUUCUCAUCCUGGAAAAAAGCACGAUACCAGUACAUAGAAUGGAAGCUAUAAUUGGAACAUCUAUCUUUCAUC
Melanotaenia boesemani (Boeseman's rainbowfish) is the source of this 275-nucleotide long non-coding RNA. RefSeq lists it as uncharacterized. NCBI's taxonomy places the organism in Eukaryota, Metazoa, Chordata, Actinopteri, Atheriniformes, Melanotaeniidae. The transcript is spliced from 3 exons. The record is from RefSeq and is a predicted model, not a curated record.